This 497-nucleotide ribosomal RNA is filed under the name uncultured bacterium. RNAcentral's name for it is "partial 16S ribosomal RNA". It matches the Rfam family "Bacterial small subunit ribosomal RNA", at positions 28 to 506 of the family's 1533-position model. The record is from RNAcentral.
GAUGAACGCUGGCGGCGUGCCUAAUACAUGCAAGUCGAGCGAACGGACGAGAAGCUUGCUUCUCUGAUGUUAGCGGCGGACGGGUGAGUAACACGUGGAUAACCUACCUAUAAGACUGGGAUAACUUCGGGAAACCGGAGCUAAUACCGGAUAAUAUUUUGAACCGCAUGGUUCAAAAGUGAAAGACGGUCUUGCUGUCACUUAUAGAUGGAUCCGCGCUGCAUUAGCUAGUUGGUAAGGUAACGGCUUACCAAGGCAACGAUGCAUAGCCGACCUGAGAGGGGGGACGGCCACAACGGGACUGAGGCACGGUCCCGACUCCCUCGGGAGGGCAGAGGGGGGGAUUUUUCCCAAAGGGGGAAAACCCUGCGGGGCCACCGCCGGGGGAGUGAUGAAGGUCUUCGGUUGGAAAAACUUUUUUUUUGGGAAAAAACAUAUUUGUAAAUAACUGGGAACAUCUUGAGGGAACCAAAUCAGAAACCCCCGCCAAAUUCCGG